AUGUUCUACUCCCACUCCGUCCUGGCUCGGAAGAGCCCGCUGGGCACGGUGUGGAUCGCCGCGCACCUCGAGCGCAAGGUCAACCGGACGCAGAUCGACGGCGUCGACGUCCCCUCCUACGCGGCGUCCAUAAUGGACCCAGAGGUGCCCAUCGCCCUCAGGCUGUCGGGGCAUCUCCUCCUCGGGCUCGUCCGCAUCUACUCGUGGAAGGUGAACCACCUGUUCCAAGAUUGCAACCGGAUGCUGAGCGCGGUCAGGACCGCCUUCGCCUCCAUGGAGGCGAUAGAUCUGCCGGUUGACGCGGACCGUGCUCCGUUCGAGAUGGAUACGCCGGAUCGUCAUCGGCGGACCUCUGAUCAGAUCACCUUGUCUGGAGAAGGGUAUGUGAUGAUCACCCUUGACGAGGAUGGUGGAGCAGAGUUCACGUCUCCUGCUGGUCGAUCUUCAGGAUUUGAGCCUGAACAGCUUGAGCAGGAGACGUUCCCUCCGUUUCCUGAGGAUAUCAUUUCUGCAGAUCCUCCUCUGCAAGGCAGUUUUUCAGUGAACCCUAUCAAUGGGCACCGAGAUACACCAGAAAUAUUGCGCCGAGCGACUGACAGUGCGUCAAGGUUUGAAGAUGUUAUUGAUGGCGGUGACCCCAUGGAUGAAGAUCCGUCGCCGUUCAUAGAAAAGGUUACCACGCCACCAGCAAUGCACUCACCUUUAUCCCCUGUGCUUCGGACAUCCAUUCCCAAUGUUCCAACACGUAUCAGCCAUGAGCUUGUUGAAGAAGAUGAAGAACCAGCAGGUGACGCUGGACUCUUGGCACCUGUAGCAUUUGUCCUUGAACCAUCUCCACCACCUCAAGCACAAGGUAACAGGCGAAGGAGAAGGGCGAAUGUACAGGAGAAGAGGAGAAGGCCUAUAAUUGAUGAGGAAAUCGUGCUCCCCAAUGAUUAUAUGAGUAAUCAAGUUGAUGGCAUUGAGCUAGGUAGGCUGGCUCGCAGGAGGAAGAUACUGCCCCAUACAGCAGUGGAUGUGUGGAGGUUCAACAGGAUAAGCCAAAAGGACAGCCUUUUUUCUGAACCUCUGGUGCAAGGAAUGUGUAGCGAUCUUCAUAAAGCUUAUGAGGGGAACUACCCUCGUGUGAGUGACUCUGAUGCUCAGCCUGCCGAUGUUGUGAAUGUUCGUGACUCUGAUGCUCAGCCUGCCGAUGCUGUGAUUGUUCGUGACAAGGAUGCACCUACAAGAAAUGCAGAUACACAGGAGCCUGAACCUCACCUCACCUUGAAUUCUCUAGGAAAUGGAGAGGCAACACCAUUUGAUUCACCACCUGAGCUCCCUCGCUUCUCUCCACAAAAGGAUCUAUCUCCAGUAAGAGAAGAAGAACACACCCCUUUUGAAACCCCUGGUCGAAGUGGAACCCGGCGGUCUGGACUUGGAGGAACUGGUGCUACUGUACCACUAACACAUUGCAGUUCUGCAUCACUUGGAAAAAAUACUAUUGAAUCUCAUUUCCCAUUCGGUACUGACGAUCUUGAUGAAGAUCUACCGGGGUUUCCUGGGCUCAUGAAUACCCCUAGCAUGAUAUCCAGUGCGGGUACCAGCACCACAGGAUUAGGCAGCAUCAUGUCUACCAGGACAAGGGCUGCCGCCCAGUACUUCAAAGGUAUGAUGUCUUCAGCCACGUCAGAAGACCAGCCAGGGAAAUUCAGUUUAAGCAGAAUCUUGGACGGGAGGACAAAGAAGCAAGCUGCAAGCAUGUUCUUUGAAACAUUGGCCCUGAAGAGCUAUGAUUAUAUCGAUGUCCAUCAGGAAGAAGCGUAUGGCGAUAUUUCAGUUUCGGUUAGACCGUCACUCUCGAGCGCUAAACUUUGA
RNAcentral lists this ribosomal RNA (1857 nucleotides) under Triticum aestivum (bread wheat). RNAcentral describes it as "partial small subunit ribosomal RNA". Lineage: Eukaryota; Viridiplantae; Streptophyta; Magnoliopsida; Poales; Poaceae. The record is from RNAcentral.